RNAcentral lists this ribosomal RNA (347 nucleotides) under uncultured bacterium. RNAcentral describes it as "bacterial SSU rRNA". It matches the Rfam family "Bacterial small subunit ribosomal RNA", at positions 1 to 334 of the family's 1533-position model. The record is from RNAcentral.
AGAGACGAGUCAGAGUUUGAUCCUGGCUCAGGAUGAACGCUGGCGGCGUGCCUAAUACAUGCAAGUAGAACGCUGAAGCUUGGUGCUUGCACCGAGCGGAUGAGUUGCGAACGGGUGAGUAACGCGUAGGUAACCUGCCUGGUAGCGGGGGAUAACUAUUGGAAACGAUAGCUAAUACCGCAUAACAACAGUUGUUGCAUGACAGCUGUUUGAAAGGGGCAAUUGCUCCACUACCAGAUGGACCUGCGUUGUAUUAGCUAGUUGGUGAGGUAACGGCUCACCAAGGCGACGAUACAUAGCCGACCUGAGAGGGUGAUCGGCCACACUGGGACUGAGACACGGCCCAG